Molecule: long non-coding RNA, 773 nt
Organism: Hyaena hyaena (striped hyena)
Lineage: Eukaryota; Metazoa; Chordata; Mammalia; Carnivora; Hyaenidae
Exons: 5
Source: RefSeq, a predicted model, not a curated record
UCUCUUUUGUCCCUUUUUCUUCCUCACCUGCUAGAAUAUGGAGGAUGUCAUCUGGUAGCAUGAGAGACAGAGCCACAGUAGGGAUGGCCAAGGAGGAGCUAAAAGGAGUGUAGGUCCCUGAAGACACGGCAAAACAAAAGCCACUAUACCAACUCAGGACUCCAUCCCACCACGUUUCAUAUAGGAGAGAAGUAUACUUCUAUCUUUUUAAAGCCCCUAUUUGCUGGGUUUUAUUGUUACUUACAGCCAAAUUCAAUCUUAAGUAAUACACAGAGAUUAUAGCAUAGCUCUUGUAGCCUAAUUGCCUAUCUAGGCAGGUAAUAAUUUGAAUAACCUAUAGCAGAGAAGAAAUCCUGAAUAGUAAUGAGGAUCUGAAUUGUCCUGAGAGGAGAGACACAAUGACCCAAACCUUCCACAUAAUGACUCUCCACAUCGGUAAGCAGAUUUUGUGAAUGCCUGACUUGAAAGAUUUAGGAAAGACUGCUCCUAGGCCAGAAGAUGAAGUCUAUUUUGCAGAUGCAGCCAACAUGACUGAGAGGAGUUGUGCCAGGUAACUUGGAGACUAUUGGCCUAUCUCCAGAGAACCUAGGAUUUGCUAUACACCCUUGCUGCAUCAUGUUAAUUGAUGAGUUUCAUCCCUAAGAAGAAAUCCUACUGUGGGCAGGGUCCAGGAUUCACUACCUCAUGGACAUUUAUCCAAAUUCUAACUUGAGAAUCAGCCAACAAGAUAAAUGUCCAGGUAGGGGUACCUGGGUGGCUCAGUCAGUUGAGUG